Molecule: long non-coding RNA, 2943 nt
Organism: Ictalurus punctatus (channel catfish)
Lineage: Eukaryota; Metazoa; Chordata; Actinopteri; Siluriformes; Ictaluridae
Source: Ensembl
CUCUCAGCUGCUAGCGGUUUAGACGCUGAUCAUGUCCGCAUAUAUACCGCACGCCUCCCAGCACACAAGGCGGAAGAUUACUAUAGAGUUAAGUUAGUUUAGUUCGUAUCGUAGUCAUAGUCACGGUCCAUGUUUAGAGUUAGUUCGCGCUGGAUUAUCUGCUUCCAGUCCCUCGUCAUAGUUCGUUUCUCGUUUUGUUUACCGACCCUGUUUUCCAUGACCACGACCUAGAUUCCUGCCUUGCCCCGUGUAUGCCUGUUUGCCAAUGGCCUGACCUCUUGCAUGUUAUGGAUUACGUUUUGGAUCACGUAUUGGAUUUGUCUGCCUGUCUCUCUUUCAAAUAAACAACUGUUCAUCCUGCACUUGCAUCCGUCCUAUCUCUGCUCCGUCACGAUCCGUGAUAGUAUGUGCCUAAAUUAAACAAAUAUAGUCGUGUUAAACAAUCUACAAUCUUUGACUAUUUAACUGUAAAUAUGCAACAUUUGUGUAGCACUUUGUAAAAUCUAAAUGUGUACUCAUUUCACGCAGUGAUUAAUUAAUUCCAUGUGUAUUGAAAAUUAACAUAGAUAGCAAAAAAUGGUAGCUAUGUUUGAUGUUUGGCUGUAUAUGGUUUUACAGUACAGUAAUUACUCAGAUUUAAUGGUAAUUGUAAGUCUGUAAUGGUGCAUACUGGAUAAGUUGGAAAUGUAAGUUAUAAUAGUAGCUAAAAUGAAAAACAAAAAAACCUGGUAUGAUACAACACUUAAAGCUUAAAGUCCAUUUGUUGCCUGUUUAUAUACAAGAAUAUACAUAACUCUAGUUACCAAUGAGUCAUCAUUUACCAUUAAUACAGAUUCCUUGUAUUGCUCUCUCUCUCUUUCUCACUCUCUCACUCACACACAUUGUCACUCUCUUUGCAUGCACCUUUAUUCGUUCUAUGGUCAUGAGCUAUUGGUGUUUACUGCAAUAGCCACAAUCUAAAGAAUCUAUUAUCCUUAUUACGUGGAGUGUUUUAGAGGGUUCAGGACCCUAUAAUUCCAGACUGUGUGUUUCCAUCACUGCUGAAUGAAUAAUGCAUCAGGAUCCACUCAGCUAAUCUGGCAGGGUUGAGUACAGGUAAUCAGUGCAGGACAAAACAUAGCAGGAAACCACUCGCUGACCCUUUCUGCCCAGCACAACCACUACAUAAUAAAGUGAAUAGUGAAAGCACUGUUGGAACAACAAGUCCUUUAUGCCAGUAAGAGAACAUAGGUUUGCCCAUCAGUGUAUAGUUGUGCUAUCAUUUGCCAAUUUCAAGCACAUUUCACAUUUUCCCACAUGUUUAGGAAUACACACGAAUAAUUUGGUGUAUUAAAUAUAUCUUAAUGUGUCAUUUCUACAAGUCGCUAAACAGACGGAUGUCACUGAGGCUGAGAUGCCUGUACCAUGUCAGAUAUAGAUGCAGCCUUGUUAUUUUCAGCUGAAACUGGUUUUAGGCUAAGCUCACUCACUCAUGUGAAGUGUUUGCUAAUCAGUGAAUCAGUGUAACUUCACCAAUACCCAUCUUAUCACCUCAUUAAACAUGUACAAUUUUAAAACUUACAAGGUUUUAAAGAUGGCCUAACUACACAAAAACUCAUCAUGGGAAGACAGAUAAAUCUUUUGGCAGAAGACUUUCUUAUCUUUUUUCCCCCAGUGAAACUAUAGUGUUAAUAGUAUCAUAAUUAUUAGGGAUGGUGGAACUCAGUGGAUUCAUUCUCAUAUUUUUUUUUCUUUCAAUGUUCCUGUAAUAUAUCUGCUUCUGUGAGAUUGCAAUUAAGUAAUUCCCUCAGCUGUUAGCUGGACCUGAAUAAAUAUUACUGUGUAAUACUGUGCAAAAUGCAUUAUUCAGUAAGACAAAGCUGAUGUUGGACAUUUAUAAUUCAGCUCCAGCUCUUUCUGGUCAUAUUUUAUCCUUGUUAACAGCAAAGCAAGACUGUCCAAACUAAGUCUGAAAGUGAAACCAUUUGUCUGCUAAGCCAUUAAUGAGCUCAUUUCAGCAGAGUGUUUACUAAAAUCUCACAAUAAAUAAGAUAUUAAUUCCCUCUAGUCUGCAUUGACAUCCUCAGCAUCUUUACCACAUCCAUCACCAUCAUUCCAUUCAUCAAAUCUCUAAAUAGCCAGUGGCAUCAUUGGCUUAUAAUGGCAUGAUAAUGUACUAUACAGUAUGCCUUGUCAGAAAUGCCAGUCAGUACACCAUAAGCAAAGGUGGACAACUACUACUACUAGUCUGGGUACCAGGGACAAGCGUAUAAUGUCAGCGCUAUUAGUAAUUUUAUUCAUAGUUUCACUUUAUUGAAAGGAGAAGAAACUCUACUUUAGACACUAGUUUAGUGUGGGGGGAACAGUGGCUUAGUGGUUAGCACGUUUGUUCACAUCUCAAGGGUUGGGGGUUUGAUUCCUGCUUCCGUCCUGUGUGCGUGGAGUUUGAACGAUCUCCCUGUGCUUUGGGUUUUCCUCCUUGUACUCCAGUUUCCUCUCCCAGUCCAAAGACAUAAAUGUUGUAGGCUGAUUGGCAAAUCCAAAUUGUCCGUAGUGUGUGAAUGUGUGUGAGAUUGUGCCCUGUGAAAGUUUGUCCAGGGUGUACCCUGCCUUGUGCCCGAUGCUCAAUGGAAUAGGCUCCAGGUUCCCCGUGACCCUGAAGAAUAAGCUGUAUAGAAAAUGGAUGGAUGAAUGACUGGUGUGUUUUUAAACUAUUUUAGAACAAAUUCACAAGUUCCUCAUCUUGCAUUUCCAAGAAUGGUACGUGCUGCUCUUGUGUCAUUUUGUUUUGAGGCCUGUCAUGUACUUUGUUUAUGUUUGUUACUUGUUAUGACUUGCUUUUAUUUUGGUUUUGGUCCUGUCUUUGCCUCCAUCUUGUCAGUGGUGUAAUUGUGUCCUCGUGUUCUGUGUUAAACCUUUGAUUAAUUUAACCAUAUCCGGAUAGGAUUAAAUUUAUAUGGGGUC